RNAcentral lists this ribosomal RNA (278 nucleotides) under uncultured bacterium. Its description in RNAcentral is "partial 16S ribosomal RNA". It matches the Rfam family "Bacterial small subunit ribosomal RNA", at positions 506 to 784 of the family's 1533-position model. The record is from RNAcentral.
UGCCAGCCGCCGCGGUAAUACGAAGGGAGCUAGCGUUGUUCGGAAUUACUGGCGUAAAGCGCACGUAGGCGGAUAUGUAGGUCAGGGGUGAAAUCCCGGGGCUCAACCUCGGAACUGCCUUUGAUACUGCAUAUCUUGAGUCCGGAAGAGGUGAGUGGAAUUCCUAGUGUAGAGGUGAAAUUCAUAGAUAUUAGGAAGAACACCAGUGGCGAAGGCGGCUCACUGGUCCGGUACUGACGCUGAGAUGCGAAAGCGUGGGGAGCAAACAGGAUUAGAUA